AAACGUUCCAGCACCGCUUCAUGAGAAGACCAGCGGGAAGGGCUUACAGACAAGAACUACUCUAUACCUCAGGAGUUUCUGCUGGAAAUAUAGUUUGGUUAACUGGAAAUCCAGGGCGCUGCGCAAUUAAAGGUAAAACAAGAGAAACCCCUUACCGUCUUCACUUUCGGUUCCGCUGUCCAGCUGAGGGUUAAUAAACGCAGAAAACCUGGAGAUGAUCCAAAUAUAGUGAGGACUGUGAAGACCAAGCUCAGCACUGCAGGUACC
RNAcentral lists this long non-coding RNA (267 nucleotides) under Equus asinus (donkey). Its description in RNAcentral is "lncRNA (ENSEASG00005024202.1)". The record is from RNAcentral. Lineage: Eukaryota; Metazoa; Chordata; Mammalia; Perissodactyla; Equidae.